UACGAAGGGGGGCUAGCGUUGCUCGGAAUCACUGGGCGUAAAGCGCACGUAGGCGGAUUGUUAAGUCAGGGGUGAAAUCCUGGAGCUCAACUCCAGAACUGCCUUUGAUACUGGCGAUCUCGAGUCCGGGAGAGGUGAGUGGAACUCCGAGUGUAGAGGUGAAAUUCGUAGAUAUUCGGAAGAACACCAGUGGCGAAGGCGGCUCACUGGCCCGGUACUGACGCUGAGGUGCGAAAGCGUGGGGAGCAAACAGG
This 254-nucleotide ribosomal RNA is filed under the name uncultured bacterium. Its description in RNAcentral is "partial 16S ribosomal RNA". It matches the Rfam family "Bacterial small subunit ribosomal RNA", at positions 524 to 776 of the family's 1533-position model. The record is from RNAcentral.